Psammomys obesus (fat sand rat) is the source of this 134-nucleotide small nucleolar RNA. RefSeq annotates it as small nucleolar RNA SNORA17. The transcript has a single exon. NCBI's taxonomy places the organism in Eukaryota, Metazoa, Chordata, Mammalia, Rodentia, Muridae. The record is from RefSeq and is a predicted model, not a curated record.
CCUGCCCCGAGAGGCUGUGCAGGUGCGGCUGCUGUGAGUGGCUGCUGUGGGUCCGUAGGUGGCAGAGAGGAGGGAGGUGUGUCUAUGCUCUGCGUUCUACCUGUGAACAUCUGAAUAAUGAGUAGCCUAGCAGU